UACGGAGGGUGCAAGCGUUGCUCGGAAUCACUGGGCGUAAAGGGCGUGUAGGCGGUUUCGUAUGUCUGGCGUGAAAGCCCCGGGCUCAACCCGGGAAGUGCGUUGGAAACUGCGAAACUAGAGUCUCGGAGAGGAAGGUGGAAUUCCAGGUGUAGCGGUGAAAUGCGUAGAUAUCAGGAGGAACACCCGUAGCGAAGGCGGCACUCUGGGCCGAUACUGACACUGAGGAGCGAAAGCGUGGGGAGCGAACAGG
RNAcentral lists this ribosomal RNA (253 nucleotides) under uncultured bacterium. RNAcentral's name for it is "partial 16S ribosomal RNA". It matches the Rfam family "Bacterial small subunit ribosomal RNA", at positions 524 to 776 of the family's 1533-position model. The record is from RNAcentral.